Long non-coding RNA from Spinacia oleracea (spinach), 1139 nucleotides. RefSeq lists it as uncharacterized. Lineage: Eukaryota; Viridiplantae; Streptophyta; Magnoliopsida; Caryophyllales; Amaranthaceae. The record is from RefSeq and is a predicted model, not a curated record. The transcript is spliced from 3 exons.
UCACAUGACGGCUCUAAUGUCUCUACUGAGAUUCCUCAAUAUUCUACAAUGAAAAUGUCGACUGUUUUUAAUCAUGGAGUCGUUUGUGGAAACAUUUUUGAACCUGCAAAGAAGGCUAUCAAGAGCACAAGACAGUCGGUACAACAGAGACCUAAGAGAGCUCUUACCAAAAAUAGUUUAAUAAAUUCAUAUGGGUCUCCAAAUCAACCAGAGGACUGUCAUACUCAUGAUGAACGCACGCCUCGCUGACCGCUGUGUUUCCACCUUGGAUCCUCAUGAUUCCUACACAAAAAAUACUGAAAAUCAGGUAAGAGAUCCAGGUACAAUCAAGGAAUGCUGCUCAUGAUCAACAAAUCAUGCAGUAUAAAACAAAAAACAAAGGUUACUUUCUUCCUACCAGCAGUGACACAUCAACGACCUUGGUAUGGCAUACAAAUAAGUAAUCCUACAACUGUACAUUAUAUAAUCCCAUAACAAUGCCUUUAGUCAAACAAAAUCUUUACUGAUGACUGAUGAGGUUUUUAUUUCUUGAUUACAUGGUUUUGGUUUUAACUGCUGCCCAACCAAAAUCUGAUGGUUCACAUCAGAGAUAUAAACGAUGAGCUGAUACAUACAGUGCUUGAAGUGGCUUAUGUUUCUGAUUCCAAGAACGAGACGAUUGUAAGGUGUACUUAUAAUCCGAUAGAGAUUUGUACGAUGAUAAUAUGAGACUGUUCCGGGUGUGGAAUAAGAAUAGCUGAACUUCCGUUGGUAGUGCGGGCCGGCUGGUAUCUGCACAACAUAAUAGAUUAACUAGCCUCGGCGGUGGUUCGAGGAUCCCCUCCGAUGCCUAAGUAAGAUUACCAGUAUGUUCUUUCCUCUUCUUCUUGGAGAUGUGUGUUCUCUCAGAUUAUCCUGAUUCUCUUCCCAGGAUCUUAGAGGACGUAGACAAGCAGCUGGAGGGAUGUUGGUGAAUGGUGAGUGAAAAAAAUACGUGGGAUGAUAAAGAAUGAGUUGAUUUAAUACAAUUGAAUCAAAUUUUUGUUACCGUGGAGAAUUUUUCAACCUGAUUUGUCUAGAAAAAAAUUUAUUAAGGGGACUCGCUCGACGGAGCAUAAGACCACUUGGGGCUUUGGGUUGAAAAUGGUGUUCCAAGCAAU